AGUGAACGCUGGCGGUAGGCCUAACACAUGCAAGUCGAACGGCAGCACAGUAAGAGCUUGCUCUUACGGGUGGCGAGUGGCGGACGGGUGAGGAAUACAUCGGACUCUACUUUUUCGUGGGGGAUAACGUAGGGAAACUUACGCUAAUACCGCAUACGACCUACGGGUGAAAGCAGGGGAUCUUCGGACCUUGCGCGAUUGAAUGAGCCGCUGUCGGAUUAGCUAGUUGGCGGGGUAAAGGCCCACCAAGGCGACGAUCCGUAGCUGGUCUGAGAGGAUGAUCAGCCACACUGGAACUGAGACACGGUCCAGACUCCUACGGGAGGCAGCAGUGGGGAAUAUUGGACAAUGGGCGCAAGCCUGAUCCAGCCAUACCGCGUGGGUGAAGAAGGCCUUCGGGUUGUAAAGCCCUUUUGUUGGGAAAGAAAAGCAGCAGGUUAAUACCCCGCUGUUCUGACGGUACCCAAAGAAUAAGCACCGGCUAACUUCGUG
RNAcentral lists this ribosomal RNA (492 nucleotides) under uncultured bacterium. Its description in RNAcentral is "partial 16S ribosomal RNA". It matches the Rfam family "Bacterial small subunit ribosomal RNA", at positions 29 to 507 of the family's 1533-position model. The record is from RNAcentral.